RNAcentral lists this ribosomal RNA (1542 nucleotides) under Triticum aestivum (bread wheat). Its description in RNAcentral is "partial small subunit ribosomal RNA". Lineage: Eukaryota; Viridiplantae; Streptophyta; Magnoliopsida; Poales; Poaceae. The record is from RNAcentral.
AUGGUCCUUAGAGAUAUUAGGGAUAUGUUGCAAUCCAUGGGAAAGGAUAUUAAAAACUAUGGACUUCCGGAUCUGGUAGAGACCAAUGAUUCUUAUGACGGUGAGUACAGAGAGGUGAUAGAAGAGAGGCAAAUCACCGCAGACAUAGAACAUCUAGAUCUAUUUAGCAGUUUGAACAAUGAGCAGUUGGCUUGUUUCAAUGACAUAAUGGAUCAUGUGAUGACAAAAAAAAGCCAGAUAUUCUUUGUUGAUGGUCCAGGAGGCACUAGGAAGACGUACCUGUACAAGGAAUUGCUUGCUAAGGUGCGUUCCAUGGGACAAAUGGCGAUUGCAACUGCUACAUCUGGUAUUGCAGCGUCGAUAAUGCCUGGAGGACGGACAUCACACUCUCGGUUCAAAAUACCAAUCAAGCUCACUGAUAAUAGUAUGUGCAGUUUCACAAAACAAAGUGGUAUAGCGGAGUUGCUUAGACAGGUGUCCUUGAUAAUUUGGGACGAAGUCGCUAUGACAAAACGUCAAGCAGUUGAGACGCUUGAUAGAUCACUACAGGAUAUAAUGGAAUGUUCUUUGCCGUUUGGAGGAAAGGUUGUCGUCUUUGGUGGUGAUUUCAGGCAGGUCCUGCCCGUUGUGACACGUGGGACAAGAGCGCAGAUCACGGAUGCUACACUUCUGAAAUACCUCCUAAGGAUAGGCAAUGGAACUGAAGAGACAAUUGGCGACGACUAUGUCCGUCUCCCUGACGACAUUGUCAUUGGCUAUACCGACGAUGAAAAAGCUAUUAACAUGCUCAUUGAAGAUGUCUUCCCAUCGUUGCAUGCCAAUGCUACAUCCAGAGAGUACAUGAGUGCACGUGCUAUUCUAUCGACCAAGAACGAUCAUGUCGAUGACCUAAAUGACAAGAUGAUCUCCAGGUUUCCAGGUGAAGAAAAGUUAUACCAUAGUUUUGACUCAAUCGAGGAUGGCCUACAGAAUAAUUACACAAUUGAUUUUUUGAACUCGAUCACACCAAAUGGCUUGCCCCCACAUGUUUUGAAAUUAAAGGUCAACUGCCCGGUCAUUCUGCUACGGAACCUCGACCCUCAUAAUGGUCUAUGCAAUGGAACACAGCUUAUGAUUAGAGCCUUUCAGGAUAAUGCAAUCGAUGCAGAGAUUGUUGGUGGUCAGCAUGCUGGAAAGAGGGUGUUUAUACCUAGGAUCCCUAUGUCGCCCUUGGAGGACAUCUCACUUCCUUUCAAACUUAAGAGAAAAUAGUUCCCCAUCCGUCUGAAUUUUGCGAUGACAAUUAACAAGGCACAGGGUCAGACCAUCCCAAAUGUUGGCAUUUACCUUCCCGAGCCAGUAUUCUCACAUGGUCAACUAUAUGUUGCAUUGUCAAGUCGAGAGAGACGACACGGAUUUUGGCCAAGCCAAACAAGGAUGUCGACAAAUCCAGGAAAAGCACCAAGAACAUUGUCUACAAAGAUGUUUUGGAGAGAUGAGGCAAGUGCAUUAUUCCAUUAUUUCUUUUCCCCUACUAUGUUCGCGUUGAAAACCAACUUAUGA